The sequence is a regulatory RNA element, 181 nucleotides long. It matches the Rfam family "Lysine riboswitch aptamer". From Rfam's summary of the family: Riboswitches are metabolite binding domains within certain messenger RNAs that serve as precision sensors for their corresponding targets. Allosteric rearrangement of mRNA structure is mediated by ligand binding, and this results in modulation of gene expression. The record is from Rfam.
UGUCGAAGAAGAGGUCGCAAAGAUCAUCAGUAAGCCGGUGGAGCUGAUAAAGCAGUGCUGAAACCGGACGAAAGGGAGAUUUGCCGAAGCAUGCUAUGCCUUUAUGCAGGCGAUGCUGGGCUUUAGUUGAAAAAACUGAAGACUGUCGCUGUAAAAAAUGCAGCGGAGCGCUAUCGAGAUG